Molecule: transfer RNA, 77 nt
Filed under: Candidatus Heimdallarchaeota archaeon
Lineage: Archaea; Promethearchaeati; Candidatus Heimdallarchaeota
Description: tRNA-Val
Rfam family: tRNA
About the family: Transfer RNA (tRNA) molecules are approximately 80 nucleotides in length. Their secondary structure includes four short double-helical elements and three loops (D, anti-codon, and T loops).
Source: RNAcentral
GGGCGGUUGGUCUAGCCUGGUAUGACGAUGCCUUGACGUGGCAUAGGUCCCCGGUUCGAAUCCGGGAUCGCCCACCA